UUUCUUUUAGAAUGAUGAAAUGAAGGAUGUAGUGGUAAUUGACAACUGGGUAAGAUUCUGGUGCCCUGCUGAAACAGCUGUACUGGUUAAGAAAUUAAGAAAGCAGUUAGAUAAACUUUUGGAGGAAAAAAUAACCCAAACAGGAGUUACUAACUGGGAUAAAAGUUCUAAAGAAGGUGUACUAAUGCAUGCAAUAACAGACUUAAUUACUAUGGAAGAAAAGAAUAUCUCAAAUGGCUGAGAUCAGAUCCUGUAAACCAUGCAAUGUUGGACAAGAUAUGAUGCAAACUGGAAGAAAUCUACAAUGCCUGGUGAUGGGUCAAGGAAUCAUGUGGUGGAUAUACUUAAGAAUUGGUGAUCUGAGGAAUGAAUAAAUGAAAAAGAGAAUUG
Mytilus trossulus (common blue mussel) is the source of this 390-nucleotide long non-coding RNA. RefSeq lists it as uncharacterized. The transcript is spliced from 2 exons. The record is from RefSeq and is a predicted model, not a curated record. NCBI's taxonomy places the organism in Eukaryota, Metazoa, Mollusca, Bivalvia, Mytilida, Mytilidae.